Non-coding RNA from Pangasius djambal, 70 nucleotides. The record is from the annotation of a GenBank genome assembly. NCBI's taxonomy places the organism in Eukaryota, Metazoa, Chordata, Actinopteri, Siluriformes, Pangasiidae.
GCAGUGGUAGCCCAGUGGUCAAGACGUUGGACUACUAAUCGGAAAAUCAAGAGUUCAAUUCCCCGCACCA